RNAcentral lists this small RNA (752 nucleotides) under Oryza sativa Japonica Group (Japanese rice). RNAcentral's name for it is "sRNA Os03g0298850". The record is from RNAcentral. Lineage: Eukaryota; Viridiplantae; Streptophyta; Magnoliopsida; Poales; Poaceae.
UCACUUCUUUGCGUAGGAUAUAGCCAUUGGGUUGUAUGGGGUGAUCUUGAAACCCUGCAGAGCUUGCAUUGCAACCAUAGACUGGCUGUCGUCCUCGUAUUCCACAAAAGCAAUGCCUGGCUUGGCUUCGAUCAUCCGGACUUCCCUGAAACCAGGGUACUGCUGGAACAGGAUCUGGAGCAUCAUGCUUGUAGUCUCAGCUGGUAAGUUCUGGAUGAAAAGGAUAUUGUUUGGAGGUGCAGGUGGCUCUUGCGAAGUCUUGCCCAGGCUAAAGAACUUACAGUCCCAUUGCUUUGGGCAGCAGCAUUAGGACCAGAUUGUUGCGCCUCUUCAGCUCGUCGUUUUUUCUCCGCACCUUUCUCCUCUUGCUUCUUUCUUUUCUCUUUUGGAGCAGUAGAACCAUCUUCGGUUGCAAGACAGUCAGAUCUUGUUUUCGCAUAUUUGCAAAUGAUUACCAUUCUUUUGCCAUAAAAAUCGAAUUCCUGCAGUCCACGGAAAGCAUUUGUGGCGGCGGUAAUUUCGCUGAAGACCACCCAUGCCUGCCCCCUCAGUUUAGGUGUUUUUAAGGCCACCACAUCCAGUAUCCUCCCAUAUUGGGAGCACAACGCAUAGAAAGAUGCGUACCUUCUUUCUUGACCUUCUCGUUGAGGUUCCUGAGGUAGACCGUCUGGUUCGGGGGUAUGUCGCCGGACAACAUCUCCGCCGCGCCGCCGCCGAAGACGAGGAGGAAGGGAGACGAGACGAGCAGGAGA